Non-coding RNA from Lonchura striata (white-rumped munia), 258 nucleotides. NCBI's taxonomy places the organism in Eukaryota, Metazoa, Chordata, Aves, Passeriformes, Estrildidae. The record is from RefSeq and is a predicted model, not a curated record.
CCUACUUUCCUCUGGAAAUGGCCGCGCCGGGGAGCACCGAACGCCCCGCGCCCCGAGGCCCGUCGGCGUAGGGCGGCCGCGGGGCUGUGGCCCCCCAGGAACGCCGGAGGCAGGAUGGACGAACAGAAGGUGCCUAGCGAGGAGAAGGACACAGCCGCGCCAGCUGAUGGGGUCAUGGCCUCGGAGGAGAUGGGCAGCGCCGAGGGGGACCCCCUGAAACCCCCCGAAGGAGCCUCUGCGGGGCCAGAGCCAGACAAC